Long non-coding RNA from Diuraphis noxia (Russian wheat aphid), 140 nucleotides. The record is from RefSeq and is a predicted model, not a curated record. Lineage: Eukaryota; Metazoa; Arthropoda; Insecta; Hemiptera; Aphididae.
AUUGACGAGUUAGUUACCAAGUAUAGAAUUAAUAUGGCACAAUUAUUCAAGUUGUUCUGUUUUGUAACUUCUGUAUUACUUCUUUUGCAGUUGGCAGAUGCAGUUAUUGGAAAAACUCCUAGUAAACGUGGUAAAUAAUA